RNAcentral lists this transfer RNA (92 nucleotides) under Candidatus Riesia sp. RNAcentral's name for it is "tRNA-Ser". It matches the Rfam family "tRNA". Rfam says of the family: Transfer RNA (tRNA) molecules are approximately 80 nucleotides in length. Their secondary structure includes four short double-helical elements and three loops (D, anti-codon, and T loops). Lineage: Bacteria; Pseudomonadati; Pseudomonadota; Gammaproteobacteria; Enterobacterales; Enterobacteriaceae. The record is from RNAcentral.
GGAAGGGUAGUCUAAAUGGUAAGGCGGCAGUUUUGAAAACUGUAGUGGCGUAAUCAAUCGCUGUGGGGGUUCGAGUCCCCCUCCUUCCUCCA